UGAGGAAUAUUGGUCAAUGGGCGAGAGCCUGAACCAGCCAAGUCGCGUGAGGGAAGACGGUCCUAUGGAUUGUAAACCUCUUUUGCCGGGGAGCAAAGAGCGGCACGUGUGCCGCGCCGAGAGUACCCGGAGAAAAAGCAUCGGCUAACUCCGUGCCAGCAGCCGCGUAAUACGAUACU
Molecule: ribosomal RNA, 179 nt
Filed under: uncultured bacterium
Lineage: Bacteria
Description: partial 16S ribosomal RNA
Rfam family: Bacterial small subunit ribosomal RNA
Source: RNAcentral